Molecule: long non-coding RNA, 1077 nt
Organism: Astatotilapia calliptera (eastern happy)
Lineage: Eukaryota; Metazoa; Chordata; Actinopteri; Cichliformes; Cichlidae
Source: Ensembl
UGUUCUUGAAAUACUUUGUGGCUGCCAUUUCACUCAAUAAUUAAUGACUUAUUUACACAACACCAAUGUGCUGCCAUGCACAAGUGUCGCUAUGGUCACCAAUUGAGCUUGCAUGAUCAAGUUGCUUGUGAGAUUGCUGUCUUCGCAUUUCACAAUUCAGAUGAAUAAAUAAUGGCUUCUGAAAUUCAGUGCUUUGUUUUGCUUUCCCAGCACCCAUUAGUCACACCAGAAUUAACUUAGCGUCCGCAUGUUUUCAUGUUUAGGAAUUCUGAAAUGACAUGUUUUCACACGAUAAAAAAGGAGACAAGCAAGAGCACCAGAGUUAAUUUACAGUGAAGCACACCAAAGAAGUUAAGUGUGAAAGUACCCUUUGGCUUUUUGCCUGCACUAAUUGACAGUGGCACAACUGUGAAAACAUACAUGCUCAUGGGGUGCAAUAUGUGACUUUCAUUAUUGGAAGAACACAACAUGGCAGAAAAAAACGGAUAAAAUAGUAAAAAAAACAACAACAAGAAAAAAAAAAAACCUUGACAUACUUCAGAAUAUUCCAGUUUUUUCCCCUUUGAAUGCUGAAGAGGUUAAACUGAAAAUUUCUUUAACUAAACAAUCUGAAAAGGAAACAUCCUUGAAUGAUUUUCAGCUCAAACAAAAGUGACAAGAGGUCAUAAUUAAACUGUAAAAAUAUCACAUGCUGCAAAGUGGAUGCAGUAUUUUGAAAAAAAAACCCUCAACGUGCACAUUUCAAGCGGCAAAAUUUGAGAGUUUCUUAGCUAGCAAACUUUAAAAUACCUUUAUAUAGCACACAGCUUGGAGUCAUACUCUGUCUUAUGAAGGAAAAAUCGGAGACAGCGAUAGCAGACUGUAUCAGAACUAGGACAGCUUCGAUGUUUUCAGCCAACUUGGAUAACGCAGCCAACCUUUGAGCCCUCUGCCAGCCUUUUAUACUCCUUUUAACUCUACCCGUUUAUGGCAGCGCCUAAGAAAGCAAUGUUUUGGCCACCCUUUAGAAAAAAAUACCCCCCCACCAUUAAAGAAUAUUGAAUGUCUUUUUAAAUUUUAACCAGAUAACUAAUCGUU